RNAcentral lists this non-coding RNA (152 nucleotides) under pig gut metagenome. The record is from RNAcentral.
CGCAGGAUGUUAGAUUUUCUUAUUACUCCGUUUAUUGGUCAGCGAUGUCCGAACAGGACGUUCGGACAAGACGACACGUGCCAUGGAUGGCGCGUCGGAGUCGAUCGCAUUCCAUCAAAGUAUCAUUCACCGGAGUAAUUAGAAAAUCUUCA